UGUGUGUUCAUGUUUGUACAUCUUGUUUGUGCUCUCUGCAGGCCUCAGAGAACGAGGCCGAGUCUUCAGAGAGUGUGACUGUGCCGGCUGCCAAGACCCCCCUGGGGCAGACUGCGAACCUGUCUAAAACCUGUCGGCUCUCCUGUAAGCUGCCUGUGGUGAGCUCUGUGAAAGGGGAGCUGGUGCCCCCCCCUGCCUCUUUCCUACCUUCCUCCUGCAGCAGCCCAGACUUUGAGAACUGCAGCAAAGACCCAUCCACGUGCCCUAUCGUUCCAGGCCAGGAGAUAAUCAUAGAGAUCGCCAAGGGUCGCUCUGGCCUGGGUCUCAGCAUUGUAGGGGGAGAAGACACCCAGCUGGAUGCCAUAGUGAUCCAUGAGGUAUAUGAGGAGGGGGCGGCGGCACGUGAUGGACGACUCUGGGCUGGAGAUCAGAUCCUGGAGGUUAGUCUCUCUCUUUUAUCCCUCUCUUUAUCUCUCU
Oncorhynchus kisutch (coho salmon) is the source of this 477-nucleotide long non-coding RNA. RefSeq lists it as uncharacterized. NCBI's taxonomy places the organism in Eukaryota, Metazoa, Chordata, Actinopteri, Salmoniformes, Salmonidae. The transcript has 4 exons. The record is from RefSeq and is a predicted model, not a curated record.